GUAGGUGGCAAGCGUUGUCCGGAAUUAUUGGGCGUAAAGCGCGCGCAGGCGGUUCUUUAAGUCUGAUGUGAAAGCCCACGGCUCAACCGUGGAGGGUCAUUGGAAACUGGAGAACUUGAGUACAGAAGAGGAAAGCGGAAUUCCACGUGUAGCGGUGAAAUGCGUAGAGAUGUGGAGGAACACCAGUGGCGAAGGCGGCUUUCGUGGUCUGUAACUGACGCUGAGGCGACGAAAGCGGUGGGGAGCAAACGAGGGAUUAGACUACCCGUGGUAGUCCACGACCGUAAACGAUGAGUGCUAAGUGGUUAGGGGGUUUCCCGUCCCCCGUUAGUGCUGCAGCUAACGCAUUAAGCACUCCGCCGUGGGGAGUACGGCCGCAAGGCUG
RNAcentral lists this ribosomal RNA (385 nucleotides) under uncultured organism. RNAcentral describes it as "partial 16S ribosomal RNA". It matches the Rfam family "Bacterial small subunit ribosomal RNA", at positions 527 to 896 of the family's 1533-position model. The record is from RNAcentral.